RNAcentral lists this transfer RNA (89 nucleotides) under Candidatus Omnitrophota bacterium. RNAcentral describes it as "Candidatus Omnitrophica bacterium (groundwater metagenome) tRNA-Ser". It matches the Rfam family "tRNA". Rfam says of the family: Transfer RNA (tRNA) molecules are approximately 80 nucleotides in length. Their secondary structure includes four short double-helical elements and three loops (D, anti-codon, and T loops). The record is from RNAcentral. Lineage: Bacteria; Pseudomonadati; Candidatus Omnitrophota.
GGAGAGAUGGCAGAGAGGCCGAAUGCAACCGCCUGCUAAGUGGUUGACCGGGUAAAACUGGUCCCUGGGUUCGAAUCCCAGUCUCUCCG